Molecule: ribosomal RNA, 480 nt
Filed under: uncultured bacterium
Lineage: Bacteria
Description: bacterial SSU rRNA
Rfam family: Bacterial small subunit ribosomal RNA
Source: RNAcentral
UGGGGAAUAUUGCACAAUGGGCGCAAGCCUGAUGCAGCAAUGCCGCGUGAGUGAAGACGGCCUUAGGGUUGUAAAACUCUUUCGCUAGGGAAGAUAAUGACGGUACCUAGUAAAGAAGUCCCGGCUAACUCCGUGCCAGCAGCCGCGGUAAUACGGAGGGGGUUAGCGUUGUUCGGAAUUACUGGGCGUAAAGCGCACGUAGGCGGACCAGAAAGUUGGGGGUGAAAUCCCGGGGGCUCAACCCCGGAACUGCCUCCAAAACUAUUGGUCUAGAGUUCGAGAGAGGUGAGUGGAAUUCCAAGUGUAGAGGUGAAAUUCGUAGAUAUUUGGAGGAACACCAGUGGCGAAGGCGGCUCACUGGCUCGAUACUGACGCUGAGGUGCGAAAGUGUGGGGAGCAAACAGGAUUAGAUACCCUGGGUAGUCCACACCGUAAAACGAUGAAUGCCAGUCGUCGGGUAGCAUGCUAUUCGGUGACACA